RNAcentral lists this long non-coding RNA (256 nucleotides) under Panax ginseng (ginseng). RNAcentral describes it as "long non-coding RNA (PGIN_LNC004994)". Lineage: Eukaryota; Viridiplantae; Streptophyta; Magnoliopsida; Apiales; Araliaceae. The record is from RNAcentral.
CCAGUUACAGGAAAAGGAAAAUGCCAAGUUCAGCUUGGGAUAGAAUGUGCAGCUAAUUUGUAAAAGUAUGGUUGAAGAAUAGUAUUGUCAUGUGUUAGAUAGUUUAUGAUUGUGUAUUAGUUAAGGUUACUCGAUUUUGGGAAAAUAGUGUGUAAAGUUUAAUGUAUAAACAAUUUAUGUUUAUAUCUUCCGCAAUAGUGAUAGAAUUAGUAUACCGGAUCCGCGGCGAUUUGGGACCCGGAUUCGGGGAUGCUAC